RNAcentral lists this ribosomal RNA (1347 nucleotides) under uncultured bacterium. RNAcentral describes it as "bacterial SSU rRNA". It matches the Rfam family "Bacterial small subunit ribosomal RNA", at positions 13 to 1381 of the family's 1533-position model. The record is from RNAcentral.
UUGAUCCUGGCUCAGGACGAACGCUGGCGGCGCGCCUAACACAUGCAAGUCGAACGAGAGAUGAGGAGCUUGCUCUUCAAAUCGAGUGGCGAACGGGUGAGUAACGCGUGAGGAACCUGCCUCAAAGAGGGGGACAACAGUUGGAAACGACUGCUAAUACCGCAUAAGCCCACGGCUCGGCAUCGAGCAGAGGGAAAAGGAGCAAUCCGCUUUGAGAUGGCCUCGCGUCCGAUUAGCUAGUUGGUGAGGUAAUGGCCCACCAAGGCGACGAUCGGUAGCCGGACUGAGAGGUUGAACGGCCACAUUGGGACUGAGACACGGCCCAGACUCCUACGGGAGGCAGCAGUGGGGAAUAUUGCACAAUGGGGGAAACCCUGAUGCAGCGACGCCGCGUGGAGGAAGAAGGUCUUCGGAUUGUAAACUCCUGUUGUUGAGGAAGAUAAUGACGGUACUCAACAAGGAAGUGACGGCUAACUACGUGCCAGCAGCCGCGGUAAAACGUAGGUCACAAGCGUUGUCCGGAAUUACUGGGUGUAAAGGGAGCGCAGGCGGGAGAACAAGUUGGAAGUGAAAUCCAUGGGCUCAACCCAUGAACUGCUUUCAAAACUGUUUUUCUUGAGUAGUGCAGAGGUAGGCGGAAUUCCCGGUGUAGCGGUGGAAUGCGUAGAUAUCGGGAGGAACACCAGUGGCGAAGGCGGCCUACUGGGCACCAACUGACGCUGAGGCUCGAAAGUGUGGGUAGCAAACAGGAUUAGAUACCCUGGUAGUCCACACCGUAAACGAUGAUUACUAGGUGUUGGAGGAUUGACCCCUUCAGUGCCGCAGUUAACACAAUAAGUAAUCCACCUGGGGAGUACGACCGCAAGGUUGAAACUCAAAGGAAUUGACGGGGGCCCGCACAAGCAGUGGAGUAUGUGGUUUAAUUCGACGCAACGCGAAGAACCUUACCAAGUCUUGACAUCCCUUGACGAUGCUGGAAACAGUAUUUCUCUUCGGAGCAAGGAGACAGGUGGUGCAUGGUUGUCGUCAGCUCGUGUCGUGAGAUGUUGGGUUAAGUCCCGCAACGAGCGCAACCCUUAUGGUCAGUUACUACGCAAGAGGACUCUGGCCAGACUGCCGUUGACAAAACGGAGGAAGGUGGGGAUGACGUCAAAUCAUCAUGCCCUUUAUGACUUGGGCUACACACGUACUACAAUGGCGUUAAACAAAGAGAAGCAAGACCGCGAGGUGGAGCAAAACUCAGAAACAACGUCCCAGUUCGGACUGCAGGCUGCAACUCGCCUGCACGAAGUCGGAAUUGCUAGUAAUCGUGGAUCAGCAUGCCACGGUGAAUACGUUCCCGGGCCU